UAGGCCAUAUGUUCAGGGAUCAUUUCUAUACUUCCUUACUACAGAGAUUUCUCUGAUCGUGUAGAGCACCCAAAACCACGAGGAGGAGGAGCCAGGGCAUCCCUCUCCUGAGAAGGAAGUUAGUUCUAGGAUUGCUUUUGCAACUACCUUUAACCAAUGAUGAUAGUUCUCUUCUUCUGGAAGAGGGAGAGAGAGUGCAGUCUGAGUGG
Molecule: small nucleolar RNA, 209 nt
Filed under: Sorex araneus (European shrew)
Lineage: Eukaryota; Metazoa; Chordata; Mammalia; Eulipotyphla; Soricidae
Description: Small nucleolar RNA U3 (ENSSARG00000018818.1)
Rfam family: Small nucleolar RNA U3
About the family: Small nucleolar RNAs (snoRNAs) are involved in the processing and modification of rRNA in the nucleolus. There are two main classes of snoRNAs: the box C/D class, and the box H/ACA class.
Source: RNAcentral